Molecule: ribosomal RNA, 253 nt
Filed under: uncultured bacterium
Lineage: Bacteria
Description: partial 16S ribosomal RNA
Rfam family: Bacterial small subunit ribosomal RNA
Source: RNAcentral
UACGGAGGGUGCAAGCGUUAUCCGGAUUCACUGGGUUUAAAGGGUGUGUAGGCGGGGAUUUAAGUUAGUGGUGAAAUCUCCAGGCUCAACCUGGAAACUGCCAUUGAUACUAUUUACCUUGAAUUCUGUUGAGGUGGGCGGAAUACAUCAUGUAGCGGUGAAAUGCUUAGAUAUGAUGUAGAACACCAAUUGCGAAGGCAGCUCACUAAACAGACAUUGACGCUGAGGCACGAAAGCGUGGGGAUCAAACAGG